GAUGAAGAACGCAGCGAAAUGCGAUAAGUAAUGUGAAUUGCAGAAUUCAGUGAAUCAUCGAAUCUUUGAACGCACAUUGCGCCCGCCAGUAUUCUGGCGGGCAUGCCUGUUCGAGCGUCAUUACAACCCUCAGGCCCCCGGGCCUGGCGUUGGGGAUCGGCGAGGCGCCCCCCGCGGGCACGCGCCGUCCCCCAAAUACAGUGGCGGUCCCGCCGCAGCUUCCAUUGCGUAGUAGCUAACACCUCGCAACUGGAGAGCGGCGCGGCCAUGCCGUAAAACACCCAACUUCUGAAUGUUGACCUCGAAUCAGGUAGGAAUACCCGCUGAACUUAAGCAUAUCAAUAAGCGGAGGA
This 353-nucleotide unclassified non-coding RNA is filed under the name soil metagenome. RNAcentral describes it as "partial contains 5.8S ribosomal RNA, internal transcribed spacer 2, and large subunit ribosomal RNA". The stretch from base 1 to 120 matches the Rfam family "5.8S ribosomal RNA", at positions 35 to 154 of the family's 154-position model. The record is from RNAcentral.